RNAcentral lists this ribosomal RNA (497 nucleotides) under uncultured bacterium. RNAcentral describes it as "partial 16S ribosomal RNA". It matches the Rfam family "Bacterial small subunit ribosomal RNA", at positions 28 to 507 of the family's 1533-position model. The record is from RNAcentral.
GAUGAACGCUGGCGGCGUGCCUAACACAUGCAAGUCGAGCGAACGGACGCGAAGCUUGCUUCACUGACGUCAGCGGGGGACGGGAGAGUAACACGUGGAUCACCUCCCUACAAGAUUGGGCCAACUUAGGGAAACCGGAGCCAAUAACGGCCAAUUUCUUCAACCGCAUGGUUCAAAAGUGUCAGACGGUCUUGCUGUAACUCAUAGCUGGACCCCUGCUGCAUUAGCUAGCUGGUAAGGUAACGGCUUACCAAGACCCGGAUGCAUAGCCGACCUGACAGAGUGAUCGGCCACACUAGAGCGGGGACACGGUCAAGACGCCUACGGGAGGCAGCAGUAUGGAACCGUCCGCAGUGGGCGGGAACCUGACGGAGCAGCGCCGCGUGUGAGAUGAAGGUCUUCGGAGCGUAAAACUCGGUUAUUAGGGAAAAACAUAUGUGUAAGGAACUGUGCACAUCGUGACGGUACCUGAACAGAAAGCCACGGCUAACUACGUG